UCCUUGAAAUGCCUCCCAAGCCUGCUUUCUCUGAAAGGUCAACCAAACCAUUAGUUGUAUUAUAAGUAAUAUUUAAUGUUGUACGUUAAGCAAUGUUUCACUACUUUAUCAUACUACUUUUAUAAUUUUUAUAGUAGAAACCUUAAGCUUGAGGCAUAAUCUUCUCUCUUCCAAAAAAAACCAAAAAAAAAAAACAAUAUAGAAUGGUGAGGAAGAAAGUAUAGCAAGGAAAAGAAGGAUACUGAGUUGGAGUUUUGAGCGUGCGAAGGUGUUAUUUUAGAAGAGUUGUAAUGGUAUCUCGUAAGUAUUUUGUCUAUAUAAAAAGUCUUUUGCUCAUAUAAAGAAUAAAGACUUUAAAUAGCAUUAUCGAUAUAUUAUUGCAAAUAAUUAACUUACGUUUUAAAAAAAUUAAAAAUAUUCCUCAACCAUGCUUGGAAUUAUAAUUUUUAUUUAAAAAAAUAAAUUAUUUGAGUUUUAUUUUAAAAAAAUAAAUUAUUUGAGUUUUCUCUCUUAAUUAAAAAGUCAAAUUUUAUCCAAUUCAAAAAUUUAUUUAAAAUGAUUUGAAAUCAAAUUCAACUUAAUUCAAAUUAAAUGACAAAAAUUAAAAAUUUCAAUAUGAAAAUACGUGAAUUUAAAAUGAUAUUAAUUUAAUCCGACACAAUUCAAUGUUAACAUGACUCGAAUCUAAAACGAACCGAGCUCAUAAUGAUCAAAAAUCCAAGAUUUAUUGGAUCCAAAACUUACAAAAACUUAAAUUUAUAACUCCCAAAAAUCCAAAUUAUAAUUAAAUAAUUUUAUUUAAUAAUUAAAUAAGUAAAUGAUUAAUUUUUAAGUGAAAAUUUUAAGACACACAAGCACCUUUUUCUCGUCAAUGCUUCUUCGUUACUCAGAAACAGCUCAUAAGAAUGGCAUGGUCAACUACUCUGCUUCACCUUCACUUCAAAUCCCCUCCGGUUUCUUCUCACCAAUUCCCACAUUCCCCCCCAAAAAUCCCCGAUCUUCCUAAACCCUAACCCUAUAAUUCCCAAACCCAAACCCCCCAAAAUGCAAUUCCUUCACAGGCCCAACGCGUUUCCAGGCCACGGCGCAGUAUCAAGAGCCAUGGACAUCAUCCAAUCCUCACCGCCCACGUGGGAAUCGGCCUUCCUUACCAACAUCCUGAUCUUCGUCGUCGGGACUGCACUUUUAGUAGCGGGGCUUUCUCUCUCCGAAAUUUUCGCUUCCUUCUUGCUUGGCACUCUCACUUGGCGAGCUUUCGGGUCUUCUGGAUUCCUCCUCAUUGCUUCUUACUUCGUUAUAGUGAGUCACUAAAAAGUCUAUGAAUUUUAUUUGAAUUAUGGGAUUUACGUUAAAAUUGGAAAUGGGUUCUGAUUUUCGCUCCCAUUUGGUAUAAAGUUUAUGCUCUGGAUGAC
This 1412-nucleotide long non-coding RNA is filed under the name Theobroma cacao (cacao). Its description in RNAcentral is "long non-coding RNA (TCAC_LNC004318)". Lineage: Eukaryota; Viridiplantae; Streptophyta; Magnoliopsida; Malvales; Malvaceae. The record is from RNAcentral.